CACCAAAAUGCACAGGCUGUGAACUCGAAGAGUAGGGCGGGACACGUGGUAUCCUGUCUGAAUAUGGGGGGACCAUCCUCCAAGGCUAAAUACUCCUGACUGACCGAUAGUGAACCAGUACCGUGAGGGAAAGGCGAAAAGAACCCCGGCGAGGGGAGUGAAAAAGAACCUGAAACCGUGUACGUACAAGCAGUGGGAGCACCUUCAUGGUGUGACUGCGUACCUUUUGUAUAAUGGGUCAGCGACUUAUAUUCUGUAGCAAGGUUAACCGUAUAGGGGAGCCGCAGGGAAACCGAGUCUUAACUGGGCGUUAAGUUGCAGGGUAUAGACCCGAAACCCGGUGAUCUAGCCAUGGGCAGGUUGAAGGUUGGGUAACACUAACUGGAGGACCGAACCGACUAAUGUUGAAAAAUUAGCGGAUGACUUGUGGCUGGGGGUGAAAGGCCAAUCAAACCGGGAGAUAGCUGGUUCUCCCCGAAAGCUAUUUAGGUAGCGCCUCGUGAACUCAUCUUCGGGGGUAGAGCACUGUUUCGGCUAGGGGGUCAUCCCGACUUACCAACCCGAUGCAAACUACGAAUACCGAAGAAUGUUAUCACGGGAGACACACGGCGGGUGCUAACGUCCGUCGUGAAGAGGGAAACAACCCAGACCGCCAGCUAAGGUCCCAAAGUCAUGGUUAAGUGGGAAACGAUGUGGGAAGGCACAGACAGCCAGGAUGUUGGCUUAGAAGCAGCCAUCAUUUAAAGAAAGCGUAAUAGCUCACUGGUCGAGUCGGCCUGCGCGGAAGAUGUAACGGGGCUAAACCAUGCACCGAAGCUGCGGCAGCGACACUAUGUGUUGUUGGGUAGGGGAGCGUUCUGUAAGCCUGCGAAGGUGGCCUGUGAGGGUUGCUGGAGGUAUCAGAAGUGCGAAUGCUGACAUAAGUAACGAUAAAGCGGGUGAAAAGCCCGCUCGCCGGAAGACCAAGGGUUCCUGUCCAACGUUAAUCGGGGCAGGGUGAGUCGACCCCUAAGGCGAGGCCGAAAGGCGUAGUCGAUGGGAAACAGGUUAAUAUUCCUGUACUUGGUGUUACUGCGAAGGGGGGACGGAGAAGGCUAUGUUAGCCGGGCGACGGUUGUCCCGGUUUAAGCAUGUAGGCGGAGGUUCCAGGUAAAUCCGGUACCUUUUAACGCUGAGGUGUGAUGACGAGGCACUACGGUGCUGAAGUAACAAAUGCCCUGCUUCCAGGAAAAGCCUCUAAGCAUCAGGUAACAUUAAAUCGUACCCCAAACCGACACAGGUGGUCAGGUAGAGAAUACCAAGGCGCUUGAGAGAACUCGGGUGAAGGAACUAGGCAAAAUGGUGCCGUAACUUCGGGAGAAGGCACGCUGGUGUGUAGGUGAAGUCCCUGCGGACGGAGCUGAGACCAGUCGAAGAUACCAGCUGGCUGCAACUGUUUAUUAAAAACACAGCACUGUGCAAACACGAAAGUGGACGUAUACGGUGUGACGCCUGCCCGGUGCCGGAAGGUUAAUUGAUGGGGUUAUCCGUAAGGAGAAGCUCUUGAUCGAAGCCCCGGUAAACGGCGGCCGUAACUAUAACGGUCCUAAGGUAGCGAAAUUCCUUGUCGGGUAAGUUCCGACCUGCACGAAUGGCGUAAUGAUGGCCAGGCUGUCUCCACCCGAGACUCAGUGAAAUUGAACUCGCUGUGAAGAUGCAGUGUACCCGCGGCAAGACGGAAAGACCCCGUGAACCUUUACUAUAGCUUGACACUGAACAUUGAGCCUUGAUGUGUAGGAUAGGUGGGAGGCUUUGAAGCGUGGACGCCAGUCUGCGUGGAGCCAACCUUGAAAUACCACCCUUUAAUGUUUGAUGUUCUAACGUUGGCCCCUGACCGGGGUUGCGGACAGUGUCUGGUGGGUAGUUUGACUGGGGCGGUCUCCUCCCAAAGAGUAACGGAGGAGCACGAAGGUUAGCUAAUCCUGGUCGGACAUCAGGAGGUUAGUGCAAUGGCAUAAGCUAGCUUGACUGCGAGCGUGACGGCGCGAGCAGGUGCGAAAGCAGGUCAUAGUGAUCCGGUGGUUCUGAAUGGAAGGGCCAUCGCUCAACGGAUAAAAGGUACUCCGGGGAUAACAGGCUGAUACCGCCCAAGAGUUCAUAUCGACGGCGGUGUUUGGCACCUCGAUGUCGGCUCAUCACAUCCUGGGGCUGAAGUAGGUCCCAAGGGUAUGGCUGUUCGCCAUUUAAAGUGGUACGCGAGCUGGGUUUAGAACGUCGUGAGACAGUUCGGUCCCUAUCUGCCGUGGGCGCUGGAGAAUUGAGGGGGGCUGCUCCUAGUACGAGAGGACCGGAGUGGACGCAUCACUGGUGUUCGGGUUGUCAUGCCAAUGGCACUGCCCGGUAGCUAAAUGCGGAAGAGAUAAGUGCUGAAAGCAUCUAAGCACGAAACUUGCCCCGAGAUGAGUUCUCCCUGAGACUUUAAGUCUCCUGAAGGAACGUUGAAGACGACGACGUUGAUAGGCCGGGUGUGUAAGCGCAGCGAUGCGUUGAGCUAACCGGUACUAAUGAACCGUGAGGCUUAACCUU
RNAcentral lists this ribosomal RNA (2565 nucleotides) under Klebsiella variicola. RNAcentral describes it as "partial 23S ribosomal RNA". It matches the Rfam family "Bacterial large subunit ribosomal RNA", at positions 378 to 2925 of the family's 2925-position model. RNAcentral also lists the same sequence under 1 other name. Lineage: Bacteria; Pseudomonadati; Pseudomonadota; Gammaproteobacteria; Enterobacterales; Enterobacteriaceae. The record is from RNAcentral.